UACGUAGGGGGCAAGCGUUGUCCGGAAUCAUUGGGCGUAAAGAGCGUGUAGGCGGCCCGAUAAGUCCGCUGUGAAAGUCCAGGGCUCAACCCUGGGAUGCCGGUGGAUACUGUCGGGCUCGAAUCCGGAAGAGGUGAGUGGAAUUCCUGGUGUAGCGGUGAAAUGCGCAGAUAUCAGGAGGAACACCAAUGGCGAAGGCAGCUCAUUGGGACGGUAUUGACGCUGAGACGCGAAAGCGUGGGGAGCAAACAGG
RNAcentral lists this ribosomal RNA (253 nucleotides) under uncultured bacterium. Its description in RNAcentral is "partial 16S ribosomal RNA". It matches the Rfam family "Bacterial small subunit ribosomal RNA", at positions 524 to 776 of the family's 1533-position model. The record is from RNAcentral.